Molecule: ribosomal RNA, 314 nt
Filed under: uncultured bacterium
Lineage: Bacteria
Description: bacterial SSU rRNA
Rfam family: Bacterial small subunit ribosomal RNA
Source: RNAcentral
AUUGAACGCUGGCGGUAUGCUUAACACAUGCAAGUCGAACGGUAACAGGCAAAAGCUUGCUUUUGUGCUGACAAGUGGCGGACGGGUGAGUAACGCGUAGGAAUCUGCCUAGCAGUGGGGGACAACCUGGAGAAAUUCAGGCUAAUACCGCAUACGCCCUACGGGGGAAAGAUGGGGAUCUCUUCGGAGACCUGUCACUGUUAGAUGAGCCUGCGUCGGAUUAGCUUGUUGGUAGGGUAAUGGCCUACCAAGGCGACGAUCCGUAACUGGUCUGAGAGGAUGACCAGUCACACUGGGACUGAGACACGGCCCAG